AAGGGAGACCUAAUUCAGGUAGGAGACGAAAAAAAAGUAGUCCCAACCAAGAAUCAAUCCCAAAAGGUCGGAGCGAGGCGAAAUUGGCUUUCAAACUAGGUUCUGGGUUCACACAAGACCUGAAUCAGGAACAAGGGCUAUUAGCUCAGGUGGUUAGAGCGCACCCCUGAUAAGGGUGAGGUCCCUGGUUCGAGUCCAGGAUGGCCCACCUGCACAGGUGGCAAAAACAAAGAAGCGAGGAAUCAGCACCUUAUCUUAUCUAUAUAUAAGAGAGAAUGCUGGCUCUGAGUAAAGAGUCCAGAGGAACCUUGAAAACUGCAUAGAGCUAGGUGAAAAAGCCAAAAAAGAAGACCGCAA
RNAcentral lists this transfer RNA (357 nucleotides) under uncultured Microcystis sp. Its description in RNAcentral is "partial 16S-23S ribosomal RNA intergenic spacer". The stretch from base 135 to 208 matches the Rfam family "tRNA". The record is from RNAcentral. Lineage: Bacteria; Bacillati; Cyanobacteriota; Cyanophyceae; Chroococcales; Microcystaceae.